Long non-coding RNA from Hyaena hyaena (striped hyena), 474 nucleotides. RefSeq lists it as uncharacterized. NCBI's taxonomy places the organism in Eukaryota, Metazoa, Chordata, Mammalia, Carnivora, Hyaenidae. The record is from RefSeq and is a predicted model, not a curated record. The transcript is spliced from 3 exons.
UUGGACUUUUCUUCAUUGGAAGAUUUUUGAUUACUGAUUAAUCCUCCUAACUAGUUAUUGGUCUAUUCAGCCCUUUUAUUUCUUCCUGUCUCAGUCUUGCUAGGUAAAGUAUAAACCAGAAGCUUCUGGAAGCCAGAUCUACUCGUCAGAAAAGCCUGUCUGAACAAAUGCAGUCCACUUGCUGAGAGAGGUGGAAAAGAAACCUAAAGAGGGAAAUGCCCAACAGGCUCUGCAGUUUCUCCCUCUAAAGGUGGAUAUAUUCCAGCACCACCCACGACCUCCUCUGACUGUGAACUUGGCCACAUGACUUAUUUUGGCCAUUGUUUGCUAAUAGACUCCCCACAAGCAGAAACUUGAAGAGGGCUCACAUGGUAAGGUUUGCUCUCUUGUACUCUGCCCUUGCCCCAAGAAGAACCCAUUCCUGCUGGUCCCAGGAGGAUAUGAGACAUGCUGAGCAGGGCUGCCCCAGGGGAC